This 812-nucleotide ribosomal RNA is filed under the name uncultured bacterium. Its description in RNAcentral is "bacterial SSU rRNA". It matches the Rfam family "Bacterial small subunit ribosomal RNA", at positions 406 to 1232 of the family's 1533-position model. The record is from RNAcentral.
GGAUGACACUUUUCGGAGCGUAAACUCCUUUUGUUAGGGAAGAACAAUGACGGUACCUAACGAAUAAGCACCGGCUAACUCCGUGCCAGCAGCCGCGGUAAUACGGAGGGUGCAAGCGUUACUCGGAAUCACUGGGCGUAAAGGACGCGUAGGCGGAUUAUCAAGUCUUUUGUGAAAUCUAAUGGCUUAACCAUUAAACUGCUUGGGAAACUGAUAAUCUAGAGUAGGGGAGAGGUGAAUGGAAUUCUUGGUGUAGGGGUAAAAUCCGUAGAGAUCAAGAAGAAUACCCAUUGCGAAGGCGAUUCACUGGAACUUAACUGACGCUAAGGCGUGAAAGCGUGGGGGGCAAACAGGAUUAGAUACCCUGGUAGUCCACGCCCUAAACGAUGUAUACUAGUUGUUGCUUUGCUAGUCAAGGCAGUAAUGCACCUAACGGAUUAAGUAUACCGCCUGGGGAGUACGGUCGCAAGAUUAAAACUCAAAGGAAUAGACGGGGACCCGCACAAGCGGUGGAGCAUGUGGUUUAAUUCGAAGAUACGCGAAGAACCUUACCUAGGCUUGAUAUCCAACAAAUCUCUUAGAGAUAAGAGAGUGCUAGCUUGCUAGAAUGUUGAGACAGGUGCUGCACGGCUGUCGUCAGCUCGUGUCGUGAGAUGUUGGGUUAAGUCCCGCAACGAGCGCAACCCACGUCAUUAGUUGCUAACGGUUAGGCCGAGCACUCUAAAUAGACUGCCUUCGUAAGGAGGAGGAAGGUGUGGACGACGUCAAGUCAUCAUGGCCCUUAUGCCCAGGGCGACACACGUGCUACAAUG